AGAGUUUGAUCCUGGCUCAGGAUGAACGCUAGCGACAGGCUUAACACAUGCAAGUCGAGGGGCAGCGCGGUGGUGGCAACACCACUGGCGGCGACCGGCGCACGGGUGAGUAACACGUAUGCAACCUGCCCUCCACAGGGGGAUAAUCGGGAGAAAUCCCGUCUAAUACCGCAUAACGCCGUCCGGGGGCAUCCCCGGUUGGCCAAAGGAGCGAUCCGGUGGGGGCUGGGCAUGCGCCGCAUUAGCCAGUUGGCGGGGUAACGGCCCACCAAGGCGACGAUGCGUAGGGGUUCUGAGAGGAAGGUCCCCCACACUGGUACUGAGACACGGACCAGACUCCUACGGGAGGCAGCAGUGAGGAAUAUUGGUCAAUGGGCGGAAGCCUGAACCAGCCAAGUCGCGUGAGGGAAGACGGUCCUAUGGAUUGUAAACCUCUUUUGUCGGGGAGCAAGGGGCGCCACGAGUGGCGUCAAGCGAGAGUACCCGAAGAAAAAGCAUCGGCUAACUCCGUGCCAGCAGCCGCGGUAAUACGGAGGAUGCGAGCGUUAUCCGGAUUUAUUGGGUUUAAAGGGUGCGUAGGCGGGACGCCAAGUCAGCGGUAAAAUGUCGGGGCUCAACCCCGUUGUGCCGUUGAAACUGGCGUUCUUGAGUGGGCGAGAAGUAUGCGGAAUGCGUGGUGUAGCGGUGAAAUGCAUAGAUAUCACGCAGAACUCCGAUUGCGAAGGCAGCAUACCGGCGCCCUACUGACGCUGAAGCACGAAAGCGUGGGUAUCAAACAGGCUUAGAUACCCUGGUAGUCCACGCAGUAAACGAUGAACACUAAUUGUCCGGCGCGAAUGAGCGCUGGGUGAUACAGCGAAAGCGUUAAGUGUUCCACCUGGGGAGUACGCCGGCAACGGUGAAACUCAAAGGAAUUGACGGGGGCC
RNAcentral lists this ribosomal RNA (926 nucleotides) under uncultured Porphyromonadaceae bacterium. RNAcentral's name for it is "bacterial SSU rRNA". It matches the Rfam family "Bacterial small subunit ribosomal RNA", at positions 8 to 921 of the family's 1533-position model. The record is from RNAcentral. Lineage: Bacteria; Pseudomonadati; Bacteroidota; Bacteroidia; Bacteroidales; Porphyromonadaceae.